Molecule: long non-coding RNA, 86 nt
Organism: Etheostoma cragini (Arkansas darter)
Lineage: Eukaryota; Metazoa; Chordata; Actinopteri; Perciformes; Percidae
Exons: 3
Source: RefSeq, a predicted model, not a curated record
AUGUGAAAUGUCUGAUGUCUGGGCAAAUCUAACAUGACAAGUUAAAGGGCUCCCUUAAAACUUCAAAACUGCAUUUGUGAAAAUGA